UGUUGAUGAUGAUAGAUCCAUAGACUUGUUUCUCAGAAAACAUUCGCAGUGGACGCCUAAGAGCUUUCGCCUUCGCCAGGCUUGAGAGCUUAUGCUGCUUUAAUCCUUCCUUGGAUGUCUGAAACU
Molecule: small nucleolar RNA, 126 nt
Filed under: Jatropha curcas
Lineage: Eukaryota; Viridiplantae; Streptophyta; Magnoliopsida; Malpighiales; Euphorbiaceae
Description: Small nucleolar RNA SNORD14
Rfam family: Small nucleolar RNA SNORD14
About the family: U14 small nucleolar RNA (U14 snoRNA) is required for early cleavages of eukaryotic precursor rRNAs.
Source: Rfam by way of RNAcentral